ACGAACGCUGGCGGCGUGCUUAACACAUGCAAGUCGAACGGAAAGGCCCUGCUUUUGUGGGGUGCUCGAGUGGCGAACGGGUGAGUAACACGUGAGUAACCUGCCCUUGACUUUGGGAUAACUUCAGGAAACUGGGGCUAAUACCGGAUAGGAGCUCCUGCUGCCUGGUGGGGGGUGGGAAGUUUCGGCGGUUGGGGAUGGACUCGCGGCUUAUCAGCUUGUUGGUGGGGUAGUGGCUUACCAAGGCUUUGACGGGUAGCCGGCCUGAGAGGGUGACCGGCCACAUUGGGACUGAGAUACGGCCCAGACUCCUACGGGAGGCAGCAGUGGGGAAUAUUGCACAAUGGGCGGAAGCCUGAUGCAGCAACGCCGCGUGCGGGAUGACGGCCUUCGGGUUGUAAACCGCUUUCGCCUGUGACGAAGCGUGAGUGACGGUAAUGGGUAAAGAAGCACCGGCUAACUACGUG
This 467-nucleotide ribosomal RNA is filed under the name uncultured bacterium. Its description in RNAcentral is "partial 16S ribosomal RNA". It matches the Rfam family "Bacterial small subunit ribosomal RNA", at positions 29 to 507 of the family's 1533-position model. The record is from RNAcentral.